CCACGUCGUCUAUACGGCACACGGAUGCCAGCACGCCUACCCGGCCGUCGUUACCCAUGGGGCAAUCCGAGAAGGCCCCUCUGAGGCUUGCCUCAACCAGCAGCACCCCGGGUUUAUUAACUCCCCAAACACCCACUGAACAUCUCACCCAGCAUCACAUGGUGCAGCCCACUGCUCCCGCUCAGCAAAAAGCGAUGGUACGUCAGCCCCAUCUUUGUUUUGUGGAACUGCCGGGCAGAAGAAACACAAUAGGCCUAAUUCACCAUUACAGGCCUAAAUCCAAUUGUGAAUCUCAACUAGGAUAGGCAUAUCAAAUCAACACUUACAUAAUAGAAUCAACACUUACGUAAGGACACUUGCUUAUUCUCACUGGGAGUCACAGUUGGAUUUGGAUAAUUGAUUUGCCUCCUUUCUGAUGACAUUUGGUUUUAUGCAAUGUGUGAUGUAAGAACCUUGUGUUAUAGGUAUAUUUGUACUUGUUUCUGUCUCCGAUUGAUGACUGGCAGUCCUUGGGGGACAGAUGGUGGAGCUUUAAGUAUUGAGCAAACCUAGAUGUUUUCAGGAAGAGACACACCUAUAAGACAGUGGCAGAGCUUGGAAAAGUUCCUUUUUUGGACACAGAACCGCCUAUCUACUCCCACCCCCCAUAAAGCAGUAAUUUUUCCAGGCCAGACUGUAAUAUUUCCAGUUGUAAUUCUAUGCCUCUUGUAAGGCCUGUUUGGCUGAGCCUUUAUGAAUGAUGAAGUCUGAGCUUGGGAAAUCUUUAGUUGCAACUGCUAUUUGAAAUUCCUCAAAUAGUUACUUACUAUUGUAGUUACAGUAACUCUAUUUUAUUUGUCAAAGAUAACUCAAUGGUUGCUUUGUAGUUACUUAAAGAAGCAACAGAACACUAGAAGCUGUUGGAUUAAGUUGUGAGAUUGCGUCCUCCUAAGACAUUAAAACACAGUUUUGGUUACCUUGCAAAAGGAGUGGAAUGAUCCUAAAUUGUGUUCCAGUCUUGAUGUAAUUUAGUUAUUUCUCAGUCGCUACAUAACUGUUAUGGCCUUGGGCAAUCUGCACAGUCCCAGGGCAACCCUAGAAGAAGGUAGACCACUUCUGAGUAUUCUCUGACUGGAAAAUCCUGAAAAGGGUCACCAUAAGUCAGAAUUGAGUUGACAGCACAUGAUGAUGAUGAUUUCUAAGCCCUGAAGUUUCAUAUAUGGGUGCCUUGUGGGGAGGUGACAUAUAAAUAAUAGAAAUGAAUAAUAAAUAUGAGAGCUUCCCUUUAUGCCUCCCCA
RNAcentral lists this long non-coding RNA (1277 nucleotides) under Pogona vitticeps (central bearded dragon). RNAcentral describes it as "lncRNA (ENSPVIG00000017792.1)". Lineage: Eukaryota; Metazoa; Chordata; Lepidosauria; Squamata; Agamidae. The record is from RNAcentral.